Molecule: ribosomal RNA, 207 nt
Filed under: uncultured bacterium
Lineage: Bacteria
Description: partial 16S ribosomal RNA
Rfam family: Bacterial small subunit ribosomal RNA
Source: RNAcentral
CUUGUAGGCGGUCUGUCGCGUCUGCUGUGAAAAUCCGGGGCUCAACCCCGGACUUGCAGUGGGUACGGGCAGACUAGAGUGUGGUAGGGGAGACUGGAAUUCCUGGUGUAGCGGUGAAAUGCGCAGAUAUCAGGAGGAACACCGAUGGCGAAGGCAGGUCUCUGGGCCAUAACUGACGCUGAGAAGCGAAAGCGUGGGGAGCGAACA